Molecule: long non-coding RNA, 719 nt
Organism: Heteronotia binoei (common prickly gecko)
Lineage: Eukaryota; Metazoa; Chordata; Lepidosauria; Squamata; Gekkonidae
Exons: 3
Source: RefSeq, a predicted model, not a curated record
AUUAUGACCUGGGUUGUGCCGCUUUUCAGACUCUGCUGCGGAGAUGGCUUUUGGCGAGGGCGGCCGAAGGCGACUGGGCUGGCGAGUCUCAGAGCCCUAGGGCCCCGCCGCUCCCGUGACCCGCUUGCCCCGCGCACCUCCCACUGCCCUUUCCCCAGGAGGCUGGGGAAAGUUUUCCAAACUGCUGGGGGGGGGGGGGGGUUUCCCCCAAAGAACUCGUCAGUUUGUGCUUUGUAGGCAUUGUCUGCUGAAAACACGGGAGUUAGGAGGCUCACAUGUUAUCACUUCAGAAGAUUCUUGUUUUUCUAAGAAAUGGAUGAGACUGUGAAAUCCGUAGAUGCCGUAGUCUGAAUAAGCCUUACUUUUAAUAGCAUGAAAACAAGACGACAAGAGACAAAACUGCCUGACAGCCAGUGAGGAGAGUGCAUCUGAUCUCUGCAUUUCUAGCCAGUGAGACUGUGUGCAUGUUAACAGCACUGCCCAAGGAGGAUAAAUGGGAAACAGCGAUCCUAAAUUCAGAUAUUUUCACCAUCUACAUCUACCAGUGAUCUGAUUGUUCUUACUACUUGCUUGGCAACACAGUGAAGAUUUGGGUGCUUCCACAUGUGGUGAGAACCAGACCACUGUCUUCGACUCUUAACAUUUGUGACUCGAUGCAAAGGGGAAAUAAAGUUUGGAGUGAUUUAGCAAUUGAAUAAAAUGGUUAUUUGAGAAAAUGA